This 253-nucleotide ribosomal RNA is filed under the name uncultured bacterium. RNAcentral's name for it is "partial 16S ribosomal RNA". It matches the Rfam family "Bacterial small subunit ribosomal RNA", at positions 524 to 776 of the family's 1533-position model. The record is from RNAcentral.
UACGUAGGGGGCAAGCGUUGUCCGGAAUGAUUGGGCGUAAAGCGUCCGCAGGUGGCAAUGUAAGUCUGCUGUCAAAGCGUCUGGCUCAACCAGAUAAAGGCAGUGGAAACUACAUAGCUAGAGUAAGGUAGGGGUAGAGGGAAUUCCUGGUGUAGCGGUGAAAUGCGUAGAGAUCAGGAAGAACACCGGUGGCGAAAGCGCUCUGCUGGACCUUAACUGACACUGAGGGACGAAAGCUAGGGGAGCGAAUGGG